GGGAUCCAGCGUUCCAGGCUUUGGCUACGACCGAGUAGGGACUAGGGGCGGAGGGAGUCGGGAGCGGAGGGCUGGGGUGACCGGCCCUACGUGCCGUGGGCCUGACUGAGAUUCUGCGUCGUGACGAGGAACGGGUCUGGCUGGACCUAAUUAUAUUAUUAUCGAUUUAAAAUCGGCUUCCCGUGAUCGAACGUGACUUGGGAAAGAGGUGGUACUUCGUGAACAAGAAAGACACUGACAGUAUUUCCCCAGGGAUGAGAUCACUGAAAAAUGGAAGCUGCCUCCUGAAUUUGAUAGAAGAAUGAAGAAUCCAAGCUCGUUUCUAGAUCCAUCUCUGCCAUAAACCAGCUUUUUGACCUUUAUCACCUCCCCUCUCUGAUCUGAGUUUUCACAAUAGUCAUUCAACAAGUAUAUGUUGAGCACCUACAAAGUGGUAACAAUGUUUUAGAUGUUGAGAAUAAAGCAGUGAAUGAAACAAAAAUGCAGGGUCUGUUCCUAAACUUCCUAA
Molecule: long non-coding RNA, 508 nt
Organism: Hyaena hyaena (striped hyena)
Lineage: Eukaryota; Metazoa; Chordata; Mammalia; Carnivora; Hyaenidae
Exons: 3
Source: RefSeq, a predicted model, not a curated record